GGGAAUGUGGCUUCGUGGUAGAGUGCUUGCCUAGCAUGCAUGAAGCCCUGGGUUUGAUUCCUCAUUACCA
RNAcentral lists this transfer RNA (70 nucleotides) under Dipodomys ordii (Ord's kangaroo rat). It matches the Rfam family "tRNA". Rfam says of the family: Transfer RNA (tRNA) molecules are approximately 80 nucleotides in length. Their secondary structure includes four short double-helical elements and three loops (D, anti-codon, and T loops). The record is from Rfam by way of RNAcentral. Lineage: Eukaryota; Metazoa; Chordata; Mammalia; Rodentia; Heteromyidae.